RNAcentral lists this long non-coding RNA (4098 nucleotides) under Populus tremula. RNAcentral describes it as "long non-coding RNA (PTRE_LNC001156)". The record is from RNAcentral. Lineage: Eukaryota; Viridiplantae; Streptophyta; Magnoliopsida; Malpighiales; Salicaceae.
CCAGCCACAAUGCGUUAGAAAACCUCCAAUAGAUGGGUGGUUGAGAACUUCUUCUUGUGGACACCAACUACAAAUAAAGCCCCUUUCUUUUGUUUCUUCAGUGAAUUCUGGUGGCAAUAUCGCGGAGUCGCCGGUGAUCAUGUCAGGUCGUAUUAUCCAUAAAAAUGGGUGACCACUUUUAGAAAGUCCCGUUCCAAAUUCAAUGAGCUGCUCCUUUGUAGCCACUACUACGCUACCAAAAUUCACAUAAAUUACCGAGUUGGGUGUCUUGGAAGCAAGCCAUUGGAGACACUCAACUUCUUCUUUCCAUAGGUUACAAUCAAUAGAAUUUAGAUAAUCUUCUUGGAUUUGAUUGAGAAGUAAUUGAAGUGGACCGAUUGUGUAGACACGAGGGAACAUAGGAUAAAGGGCAGUCAGGACUUCUUGCUCUAAAGCAUCAAAAGUAUGGAAAAUGACCGCAGAAGCUGAAGGAGCUCUCUCAGCGCAUCCUAGGCAGAAGUUGAACAUAAAAUCAGUUGCAUCUGUUGUACGAACAAAACUUGGAAGAUCUCUUAUCCGUAUAUCUUUCAUUCCUGGAAUCCAGUCUACUACCUUUUCCAGGAAGCCAUUUGUUAAAAAGCUCUCAUCUGAAACAAAAUUGAGAAAAUAAGUAUCUUUUAAUCGAUAGAGCUAUCUAAAUAGCGAGCAAUGAAUAAGCAGACAGAUCGAUAACGACUUUCUUUAUAUGUGUAAGCAGAGAUUCACUGAUACAAACUCCUAGAAGAACUAAAAGCGGUCUAAGCGCAUUGUAGAGAAGAUAUGAACUCCCUAAUAUGAGAAGGAAAAGACUGAAUUAUAUAUAAUCCAUAUAUACAGAAUCCACGCAUUAUAUAUAUAUAUAUAUAUAUAUAUAAUACCCAGUAGACUUUCCAAUUAAUUAGAUGAAAAUCGAAGAUUGGAUUUUUUUUUUGGUAACGUAAAUAAUUUUACUUUUAUAACUAGUUUUUUUACCGAUAUUUCAGACUAAAAGAGAUAUCAAUUUUUUACUUUUGUAUUGAAAUUGGAUUUGAACAUCUUUGGAUCUAUUUAAUAUUGGUGUGAUUCUCAGUUUCUUAAACAAAAAUUAAAAAUUUAUCUUACCAUAAUAAUUAGUUUUAUGGUUUCCUACUUUUAGAUCCCAGAAACUAGUUUUAUUUAUUUACCCCUAUCUAUCCUUUAAACGGCAAGAACAACAAAUGGGCUUUUAAUUUUUCUCUUAUUCAUACCUUUCAGUGGUGUAAGACCUCUUUCCUUGAGCGCCUUGUAUUGUUUAAAGCCCAUGAAGCUGCAAGCGGAGAUGGUGAAUAACAGCGCAAUCGGAAUUUGGUGCAUCUCAGCCGAAGUGAUAGCUACUGGCAUGAAACCAUCAGAGAGGAUGCAGGUCACUGGAGGCGAAUCAGAAGCUGCUGUGUCAUUGAGCUUGUCAAGAACUUCAUUAAACGGAUCCAGCAAGUUCUUCGAGGCAGCCUCACCAACUGCGGAGACAUCUGGGCUGGCAUUCUCAUCUGAAGGAGGAAGGCCAUCUGGAAUCGACUCGAACCGAAAGUCGGGCAACCCAUUCAGGGAAUCAGGACCUCUAGAUUUAAGCAAACGCUUAUGGCUAGACUCUGUGUUGACAAAGGUGAUGUGAAAUCCUCUGUGAUGUAGUAGUUUUGCUAAUUUAAGCAUUGACUUUAUAUGGCUUGAAAUGGGCUAGGGAGACAGACUGCAUGAGGCUUAUGAUGAUCAGCUAAAACACUAUAAACCAUCUCCCUAACUCACUCUUCGUUUCCCUGUUUUCUCCAAGUUCUCUGCAAUUUAGAGAUUCUACUCUUACAUACAGCAAUAGUUAAGUUAUGCUAUUGCUGCUACAGUUUUUUUUUUUUAAUUAUUAUUUUAUCAAUAUAUAGGACUUCUAAUUCAAGUCAUACACGGCAGCAUUUAUUUUAUAUUUUAUCUUAAAGAUAUUAUGGAAAUCUGAAACCACAUGCUUCUGUCUCUGCUUGCUCUUCGAUCUUUGCCCGAGCCCAUAUUCCCAGGUUAUGGGCUUUUAGGUUUUUGAACUUUUUUUUAAGAUAUAUUAUUUUUUUGGAUACCAUCAUGUACAAUAUCAUUUUUUAGAUCCUACAAUAUAUUUUUUUUUAGAGGAUUUACGUAACACAAUUGUUUUACUAAGUAUGAAAAUAUAUUUUCUAGUAAUUUUUGAAUCCUUGAGUUUGAUAUCCAAUGACCAUAACUGAUAUCUUUUUAGUAUUUUAAGGUGUAUCUCAAAUACUUGUCUAUUUUUUAAUUAAUUUUCAAUGAUCUAUACUUAAAUAACUGGUAAAUCUACUUUGUUUGCUAGCCGAGUAAACAAUAUCAUGUCUCGUGUAGUUUAUAAUAUACAUCAAGCUCUUAAUUAUUUGAGAAUAUUAUAAUUGAUGUAUUCUCUUGCCUUUAUUUUCUAGUUUAUGGACACGUGUAUUUUUUAUUGUCACUUUUAUAAUAUUUAUCAAGAAAUUUUCUCAAUAUAAUAAGGUUGGGACAAUAACAAUUCAUUAAAUGUCUUAAGAAAAAUCUUAUUAUUAACAUGAUAUCUAUAACACUCAAGUUUUUUAUGUCAAACUUAUUAAUUAAUAUUUUUUUAGUAAACUUGAUCAUUUAAUUAUUGCUGCCAAAAAUAAUCAUAUUGUUCACAUAAAGGCAUAAAAUGAUAUAAUCUCUUUCAAUGUUUUUUACAUAAAUAUAUUUAUUAACUUUAUUGAUUUUGAACUUAUUUAAUAACAUAACCUAUUAUUUUUUUCAUGUCAUUAUUUAAAAGUUUAUUUCAAAUCAUAUAAUAAUUUAACAAGAUUAUUAUCUUUUUUUCCUAUCUAGUAACCACUAACUCUUUGGUUAUUUCAUAUAUAACUCUUCGUUGAGGUUAUUAUUUAAAAAAAAUAUUUUUAUAAACAUUUGAUGUAUUUCAAAUUUUUUAAUUUAUGUAAAUAUUUUUGUAAAAAUUAUUCUUGACAAAAUUGAAUAUGUGUCAAAAUAAUGUACAUCUUGUUAUCUAAAAUAUUUAACAAGUCUAACUUUAUAUUUGUCAAUAGUUGCAACUUUUAUCUUUAUUUUAAAGAUUCACUUAUAGUUUAAAUGAUUUAUUUCUAGAAGAAAAAUCCACUAGUUUCUCGUAUAUUAUUAUUUAUAAUGAAUUUAAUUUUAUUAUUAACUAUCUUUUUAUCUUGAAAUAUGUUUCACGUUCAUUUUAAAAAAUAUAUAUUUAAAAAUCUAGAUAAUAUUUUAAUUGUUUUUGCCUUAUUAGUUCUUCCGGGCUCAACUCCAUGAUUUUUCAAUGAUGAUUACUUAGCAAUGUAAAAGAAUCAACAAUAAACAUUAGCCUGCCAUAUUAUUUAGCAAUUUAAAAAGCUUAGGAUAUGAUGUGUGUUUAUAUCAGAUAUUAUUAAGCAAUGUAUAAACCAUAAUCACCUUGAAAACAAUACAUUUGUCUUUAGCUGAAAUUAUCUUUUAAUAAAGAAGCAAAAAGGAAUUUAUGACAACAGCACUUCCGUCACUAACUUGUCUAAGUUCAUGGAUGAUGAACCACCGGGCCCAGUGGCCUCCUCAGCUAAUUUUUUCCACUCCAUGGCUUUCUUCUUCAUUUCUUUGGCUUUCUCCCCCUCCAUAAACUCUCUCACAAUCUUCUCCACUUUAUCUCUUGUCACAUUGCUAUCAAUCUCCAUUCCAAUUCCCCACUCGGUGCAUGUGUACCUACAGUUUGUUUGUUGAUCACCAGCGAAUGGCCAACAAAGCAUAGGCACACCAGAAGAAAUGCUCUCAAUUAUGGAAGUCCAUCCACAAUGUGUUAGAAAACCUCCAACUGAUGGGUGGUUGAGGACUUCCUCCUGUGGACACCAACUACAAAUAAAGCCCCUGUCUUUAGUUUCUUCAGUGAAUUCUGGCGGCAAUAUCGCACAGUCGCCGGCGAUCAUGUCAGGUCUUAUGAUCCAUAAAAAUGGAUGACCGCUUUUUGCAAGUCCCAUUCCAAAUUCCAUGAGCUGCUGCUUUGUAGCGACUGCUACGCUGCCAAAAUUAACAUAAACGACAGAGUUGGUUUCUGGGAAUCCAGCCAUUGGAGACAUU